AUACAGAGGGUGCGAGUGUUAAUCGGAAUUACUGGGCGUAAAGCGCGCGUAGGCGGCUACUUAAGUCAGAUGUGAAAUCCCCGGGCUCAACCUGGGAACUGCAUCUGAUACUGGGUAGCUAGAGUUUAGGAGAGGGAAGUAGAAUUUCAGGUGUAGCGGUGAAAUGCAUAGAGAUCUGAAGGAAUACCAGUGGCGAAGGCGGCUUCCUGGCCUAAAACUGACGCUGAGGUGCGAAAGCGUGGGUAGCAAACGGGAUUAGAAACCCCGGUAGUCC
This 274-nucleotide ribosomal RNA is filed under the name uncultured bacterium. RNAcentral describes it as "partial 16S ribosomal RNA". It matches the Rfam family "Bacterial small subunit ribosomal RNA", at positions 523 to 796 of the family's 1533-position model. The record is from RNAcentral.